This 301-nucleotide ribosomal RNA is filed under the name uncultured bacterium. RNAcentral describes it as "partial 16S ribosomal RNA". It matches the Rfam family "Bacterial small subunit ribosomal RNA", at positions 509 to 807 of the family's 1533-position model. The record is from RNAcentral.
CAGUAGCCGCGGUAAUACGUAGGUGGCAAGCGCUGUCCGGAAUUAUUGGGCGUAAAGGGCUCGCAGGCGGUUUCUUAAGUCUGAUGUGAAAGCCCCCGGCUCAACCGGGGAGGGUCAUUGGAAACUGGGAAACUUGAGUGCAGAAGAGGAGAGUGGAAUUCCACGUGUAGCGGUGAAAUGCGUAGAGAUGUGGAGGAACACCAGUGGCGAAGGCGACUCUCUGGUCUGUAACUGACGCUGAGGAGCGAAAGCGUGGGGAGCGAACAGGAUUAGAUACCCCUGUAGUCCCUGUCUCUUAUAC